RNAcentral lists this ribosomal RNA (253 nucleotides) under uncultured bacterium. RNAcentral's name for it is "partial 16S ribosomal RNA". It matches the Rfam family "Bacterial small subunit ribosomal RNA", at positions 524 to 776 of the family's 1533-position model. The record is from RNAcentral.
UACGUAGGGUGCGAGCGUUAAUCGGAAUUACUGGGCGUAAAGCGUGCGCAGGCGGCUGAGCAAGUCGAGUGUGAAAGCCCCGGGCUUAACUUGGGAAUUGCGCUCGAAACUACUUUGCUGGAGUGUGGCAGAGGAAGGUGGAAUUCCACGUGUAGCGGUGAAAUGCGUAGAGAUGUGGAGGAACACCAAUGGCGAAGGCAGCCUUCUGGGCCAACACUGACGCUCAUGCACGAAAGCGUGGGGAGCAAACAGG